RNAcentral lists this ribosomal RNA (253 nucleotides) under uncultured bacterium. RNAcentral describes it as "partial 16S ribosomal RNA". It matches the Rfam family "Bacterial small subunit ribosomal RNA", at positions 524 to 776 of the family's 1533-position model. The record is from RNAcentral.
UACGUAGGGUGCGAGCGUUGUCCGGAAUUAUUGGGCGUAAAGAGCUCGUAGGCGGUUUGUCGCGUCUGUCGUGAAAACUGGAGGCUUAACCUUCAGCUUGCGGUGGAUACGGGCAGACUUGAGUUCGGUAGGGGAGACUGGAAUUCCUGGUGUAGCGGUGAAAUGCGCAGAUAUCAGGAAGAACACCGACGGCGAAGGCAGCUCGCUGGGACGGUACUGACGCUGAGGCGCGAAAGCGUGGGGAGCGAACAGG